RNAcentral lists this long non-coding RNA (646 nucleotides) under Daphnia magna. RNAcentral describes it as "uncharacterized LOC116930379". The record is from RNAcentral. Lineage: Eukaryota; Metazoa; Arthropoda; Branchiopoda; Diplostraca; Daphniidae.
CAGUGUUUAAUUUUUUUCAAUUUUUUUUUGUGUCAGUUAAUUGCUACGUAUCUUAGUUAGGCUGUCAGAAGAUAAACGUAAGUAUGCAGCAAAACUAUUCAUAGUAGGUUGUGAUUGCCCCUAUACAAUUCACGAAGAGUAUUGGUGCAAUGGACCUAGCAUCGCAGGAAAAAUGCCACUGGUAACCAAUCUUGAUUUGGUAAAUUACCUGCUAUGUUCCAAGUCUCCAUACAUGCAUGAAGAUUUAAAGGCUUACAAGGGCCUUGAGACCUACAAGAGAUUUAUCGAUGGGGGAAUUGGAUCAUUUUGUGCAAUCAGUCUUUUAAACAAAAAUUUGUUGAUGAAAGCGAAGGUUAUUACUCUUCAUUUGUUUAUUUGUAACAUUACUAUAACACAUAACUUUUUGUUGUCAUAACGUAUGAAUAAAUUAUACUUCAUAAUUUGUAUUACCUCUUGAACAUUUAAAAUUACUCUUCUUGACUCUCUAUCCAUGGCUGACUUAGCGUUAACAUACACUUUGUCAAGAUUCAGGGAUGGGGCCCAGUCUGGGUGUGUUUCUCCAGUGUACUAAAAUGGUUUUCCUGUGUGAUUUCAAAUAGAAGAAUUAGAUAGACACAUUCACUAUUAAUAAAUUUGUCGAGACUUA